GGGUUGUGAGGUUAAGCGACUAAGCGUACACGGUGGAUGCCCUGGCAGUCAGAGGCGAUGAAGGGCGUGCUAAUCUGCGAUAAGCGCCGGUAAGGUGAUAUGAACCGUUAUAACCGGCGAUACCCGAAUGGGGAAACCCAGUGUGAUUCGUCACACUAUCAUUAACUGAAUCCAUAGGUUAAUGAGGCGAACCGGGGGAACUGAAACAUCUAAGUACCCCGAGGAAAAGAAAUCAACCGAGAUUCCCCCAGUAGCGGCGAGCGAACGGGGAGGAGCCCAGAGCCUGAAUCAGCAUGUGUGUUAGUGGAAGCGUCUGGAAAGGCGCGCGAUACAGGGUGACAGCCCCGUACACAAAAGCGCAUGUGCUGUGAGCUCGAUGAGUAGGGCGGGACACGUGGUAUCCUGUCUGAAUAUGGGGGGACCAUCCUCCAAGGCUAAAUACUCCUGACUGACCGAUAGUGAACCAGUACCGUGAGGGAAAGGCGAAAAGAACCCCGGCGAGGGGAGUGAAAAAGAACCUGAAACCGUGUACGUACAAGCAGUGGGAGCACAGGUUUACCUGUGUGACUGCGUACCUUUUGUAUAAUGGGUCAGCGACUUAUAUUCUGUAGCAAGGUUAACCGAAUAGGGGAGCCGGAGGGAAACCGAGUCUUAAUUGGGCGUUAAGUUGCAGGGUAUAGACCCGAAACCCGGUGAUCUAGCCAUGGGCAGGUUGAAGGUUGGGUAACACUAACUGGAGGACCGAACCGACUAAUGUUGAAAAAUUAGCGGAUGACCUGUGGCUGGGGGUGAAAGGCCAAUCAAACCGGGAGAUAGCUGGUUCUCCCCGAAAGCUAUUUAGGUAGCGCCUCGUGAAUUCAUCUCCGGGGGUAGAGCACUGUUUCGGCUAGGGGGCCAUCCCGGCUUACCAACCCGAUGCAAACUGCGAAUACCGGAGAAUGUUAUCACGGGAGACACACGGCGGGUGCUAACGUCCGUCGUGAAGAGGGAAACAACCCAGACCGCCAGCUAAGGUCCCAAAGUCAUGGUUAAGUGGGAAACGAUGUGGGAAGGCCCAGACAGCCAGGAUGUUGGCUUAGAAGCAGCCAUCAUUUAAAGAAAGCGUAAUAGCUCACUGGUCGAGUCGGCCUGCGCGGAAGAUGUAACGGGGCUAAACCAUGCACCGAAGCUGCGGCAGCGAACGUAUCACUUAAAGCGAUUCAGCGGGUUACGAUUGACGGAGCGAAGCGACGUCAAAGCGUAUACAAAGUCGAGUCGGUUUAAGGAUACGUUCGUUGGGUAGGGGAGCGUUCUGUAAGCCUGUGAAGGUGGCCUGUGAGGGUUGCUGGAGGUAUCAGAAGUGCGAAUGCUGACAUAAGUAACGAUAAAGCGGGUGAAAAGCCCGCUCGCCGGAAGACCAAGGGUUCCUGUCCAACGUUAAUCGGGGCAGGGUGAGUCGACCCCUAAGGCGAGGCCGAAAGGCGUAGUCGAUGGGAAACAGGUUAAUAUUCCUGUACUUGGUGUUACUGCGAAGGGGGGACGGAGAAGGCUAUGUUGGCCGGGCGACGGUUGUCCCGGUUUAAGCGUGUAGGCUGGUUUUCCAGGCAAAUCCGGAAAAUCAAGGCUGAGGCGUGAUGACGAGGCACUACGGUGCUGAAGCAACAAAUGCCCUGCUUCCAGGAAAAGCCUCUAAGCAUCAGGUAACAUCAAAUCGUACCCCAAACCGACACAGGUGGUCAGGUAGAGAAUACCAAGGCGCUUGAGAGAACUCGGGUGAAGGAACUAGGCAAAAUGGUGCCGUAACUUCGGGAGAAGGCACGCUGACACGUAGGUGAAGUGAUUUACUCAUGGAGCUGAAGUCAGUCGAAGAUACCAGCUGGCUGCAACUGUUUAUUAAAAACACAGCACUGUGCAAACACGAAAGUGGACGUAUACGGUGUGACGCCUGCCCGGUGCCGGAAGGUUAAUUGAUGGGGUCAGCGCAAGCGAAGCUCCUGAUCGAAGCCCCGGUAAACGGCGGCCGUAACUAUAACGGUCCUAAGGUAGCGAAAUUCCUUGUCGGGUAAGUUCCGACCUGCACGAAUGGCGUAAUGAUGGCCAGGCUGUCUCCACCCGAGACUCAGUGAAAUUGAACUCGCUGUGAAGAUGCAGUGUACCCGCGGCAAGACGGAAAGACCCCGUGAACCUUUACUAUAGCUUGACACUGAACAUUGAGCCUUGAUGUGUAGGAUAGGUGGGAGGCUUUGAAGUGUGGACGCCAGUCUGCAUGGAGCCGACCUUGAAAUACCACCCUUUAAUGUUUGAUGUUCUAACGUGGACCCGUGAUCCGGGUUGCGGACAGUGUCUGGUGGGUAGUUUGACUGGGGCGGUCUCCUCCUAAAGAGUAACGGAGGAGCACGAAGGUUGGCUAAUCCUGGUCGGACAUCAGGAGGUUAGUGCAAUGGCAUAAGCCAGCUUGACUGCGAGCGUGACGGCGCGAGCAGGUGCGAAAGCAGGUCAUAGUGAUCCGGUGGUUCUGAAUGGAAGGGCCAUCGCUCAACGGAUAAAAGGUACUCCGGGGAUAACAGGCUGAUACCGCCCAAGAGUUCAUAUCGACGGCGGUGUUUGGCACCUCGAUGUCGGCUCAUCACAUCCUGGGGCUGAAGUAGGUCCCAAGGGUAUGGCUGUUCGCCAUUUAAAGUGGUACGCGAGCUGGGUUUAGAACGUCGUGAGACAGUUCGGUCCCUAUCUGCCGUGGGCGCUGGAGAACUGAGGGGGGCUGCUCCUAGUACGAGAGGACCGGAGUGGACGCAUCACUGGUGUUCGGGUUGUCAUGCCAAUGGCACUGCCCGGUAGCUAAAUGCGGAAGAGAUAAGUGCUGAAAGCAUCUAAGCACGAAACUUGCCCCGAGAUGAGUUCUCCCUGAGACUUAGAGUCUCCUGAAGGAACGUUGAAGACGACGACGUUGAUAGGCCGGGUGUGUAAGCGCAGCGAUGCGUUGAGCUAACCGGUACUAAUGAACCGUGAGGCUUAACCUUACAACGCCGAAG
RNAcentral lists this ribosomal RNA (3008 nucleotides) under Salmonella enterica subsp. enterica serovar Anatum. RNAcentral's name for it is "bacterial LSU rRNA". It matches the Rfam family "Bacterial large subunit ribosomal RNA". RNAcentral also lists the same sequence under 11 other names. Lineage: Bacteria; Pseudomonadati; Pseudomonadota; Gammaproteobacteria; Enterobacterales; Enterobacteriaceae. The record is from RNAcentral.